Molecule: ribosomal RNA, 497 nt
Filed under: uncultured bacterium
Lineage: Bacteria
Description: partial 16S ribosomal RNA
Rfam family: Bacterial small subunit ribosomal RNA
Source: RNAcentral
GAUGAACGCUGGCGGCGUGCCUAAUACAUGCAAGUCGAGCGAACAGAUAAGGAGCUUGCUCCUUUGACGUUAGCGGCGGACGGGUGAGUAACACGUGGGUAACCUACCUAUAAGACUGGGAUAACUUCGGGAAACCGGAGCUAAUACCGGAUAAUAUUUCGAACCGCAUGGUUCGAUAGUGAAAGAUGGUUUUGCUAUCACUUAUAGGUGGACCCGCGCCGUAUUAGCUAGUUGGUAAGGUAACGGCUUACCAAGGCGACGAUACGUAGCCGACCUGAGAGGGUGAUCGGCCACACUGGAACUGAGACACGGUCCAGACUCCUACGGGAGGCAGCAGUAGGGAAUCUUCCGCAAUGGGCGAAAGCCUGACGGAGCAACGCCGCGUGAGUGAUGAAGGUCUUCGGAUCGUAAAACUCUGUUAUUAGGGAAGAACAUACGUGUAAGUAACUGUGCACGUCUUGACGGUACCUAAUCAGAAAGCCACGGCUAACUACGUG